CGUAAAGUAGUCCAAUUAGGAUUUUGGCUUUGGAAGCCAGUGGUAGGGAUUGAAGCUCCCUCUUUUCGA
This 69-nucleotide transfer RNA is filed under the name Caecilia tentaculata. RNAcentral describes it as "tRNA-Pro". It matches the Rfam family "tRNA". From Rfam's summary of the family: Transfer RNA (tRNA) molecules are approximately 80 nucleotides in length. Their secondary structure includes four short double-helical elements and three loops (D, anti-codon, and T loops). Lineage: Eukaryota; Metazoa; Chordata; Amphibia; Gymnophiona; Caeciliidae. The record is from RNAcentral.